This 404-nucleotide ribosomal RNA is filed under the name uncultured bacterium. RNAcentral's name for it is "bacterial SSU rRNA". It matches the Rfam family "Bacterial small subunit ribosomal RNA", at positions 355 to 776 of the family's 1533-position model. The record is from RNAcentral.
UGGGGAAUAUUGCACAAUGGGGGAAACCCUGAUGCAGCGACGCCGCGUGAGUGAAGAAGUAUUUCGGUAUGUAAAGCUCUAUCAGCAGGGAAGAAAAUGGCGGUACCUGACCAAGAAGUCCCGGCUAACUACGUGCCAGCAGCCGCGGUAAUACGUAGGGGGCAAGCGUUAUCCGGAUUUACUGGGUGUAAAGGGAGCGUAGACGGCUGAGCAAGUCAGAAGUGAAAGCCCGGGGCUCAACCCCGGGACUGCUUUUGAAACUGCGGAGCUGGAGUGCAGGAGAGGUAAGCGGAAUUCCUGGUGUAGCGGUGAAAUGCGUAGAUAUCAGGAGGAACACCAGUGGCGAAGGCGGCUUACUGGACUGUAACUGACGUUGAGGCUCGAAAGCGUGGGGAGCAAACAGG